RNAcentral lists this ribosomal RNA (334 nucleotides) under uncultured bacterium. Its description in RNAcentral is "partial 16S ribosomal RNA". It matches the Rfam family "Bacterial small subunit ribosomal RNA", at positions 338 to 688 of the family's 1533-position model. The record is from RNAcentral.
CCUACGGGAGGCAGCAGUGGGGAAUAUUGCACAAUGGGGGAAACCCUGAUGCAGUAACGCCACGUGAGUGAGGAAGUAUUUCGGUAUGUAAAGCUCUAUCAGCAGGGACUAGAAAAGACGGUACCUGAAAAAGAAGCCCCGGCUAACUACGUGCCAGCAGCCGCGGUAAUACGUAGGGGGCAAGCGUUAUCCGGAUUUACUGGGUGUAAAGGGAGCGUAGACGGAAAGGCAAGUCAGGAGGGGAAACCCAAGGCUCAACCCUGGGACUGCUUUUGGAACUGGUAAACUAGAGUACGGGAGGGGGAAGGGGAAAUGCGAGGGGAGGGGGGGAAUG